GGACACCGGCGGACCUACAUCGGCGCGCUCCCCGGCAAUAUCAUCCAGUCGAUCCACAAGGCCGGCACCCGCAAUCCCGUGAUGAUGCUGGACGAGAUGGACAAGCUGGGUUCCGGAUUUCACGGCGAUCCCGCGGCAGCGUUGCUGGAGGUUCUCGAUCCCGAACAAAAUGCCACGUUCCGCGACAACUACGUCGCCGUUCCCUUCGAUCUCACAAAAGUCCUGUUCAUCGGUACCGCAAACGUCAUCGA
RNAcentral lists this unclassified non-coding RNA (251 nucleotides) under Hevea brasiliensis (rubber tree). The record is from RNAcentral. Lineage: Eukaryota; Viridiplantae; Streptophyta; Magnoliopsida; Malpighiales; Euphorbiaceae.